Molecule: ribosomal RNA, 253 nt
Filed under: uncultured bacterium
Lineage: Bacteria
Description: partial 16S ribosomal RNA
Rfam family: Bacterial small subunit ribosomal RNA
Source: RNAcentral
AACGUAGGACACAAGCGUUAUCCGGAGUUACUGGGCGUAAAGGGCGUGUAGGCGGACGUGUAAGUCUAUUCUGAAAGCUCCUGGCUAAACUGGGAGAGGCGAAUGGAGACUGCAUAUCUAGAGUGAGGAAGAGGAAAGUGGAAUUCCGCGUGUAGUGGUGGAAUGCGUAGAGAUGCGGAGGAACACCAGUGGCGAAAGCGACUUUCUGGUCCUUAACUGACGCUGAGGCGCGAAAACAUGGGGAGCGAACGGG